RNAcentral lists this ribosomal RNA (382 nucleotides) under uncultured eukaryote. Its description in RNAcentral is "partial 18S ribosomal RNA". It matches the Rfam family "Eukaryotic small subunit ribosomal RNA", at positions 592 to 976 of the family's 1831-position model. The record is from RNAcentral.
UGUAAGCGUAUACCAAAGUUGUUGCAGUUAAAACGCUCGUAGUCGGAAUUUGGCAGUUCCGGAUGUGUGCACGUCGUGUGCGCACUUCGCGGGGAUUGCUUUUGUGGUCUUGCGUAGGAUGAGGCACUUUUAUUAGUGAACGUCCUCACGCAACCACUUUUUACUGUGAGAAAAUCAGAGUGCUCAAAGCAGGCAUUUGCCGUGAAUGUAUUAGCAUGGAAUAAUAGAAUAGGACUUGGUUCUAUUUUGUUGGUUUGUUGGGACUGAGUAAUGAUUAAGAGGGACAGUUGGGGGCAUUUGUAAUUCGGUGCUAGAGGUGAAAUUCUUAGAUUACCGAAAGACAAACUGCUGCGAAAGCGUCUGCCAAGGAUGUUUUCAUUGA